Molecule: long non-coding RNA, 401 nt
Filed under: Elaeis guineensis (African oil palm)
Lineage: Eukaryota; Viridiplantae; Streptophyta; Magnoliopsida; Arecales; Arecaceae
Description: long non-coding RNA (EGUI_LNC034880)
Source: RNAcentral
CUUUUUAUUGAAGGUCUUCUUCUAAGCAUGAUCGUUUCUUAUAGCGAUUAAAGAUCUUCUAACUCCAACCCUCAGCAAUGCCACAAGUACCAAAAAAUUGGACUUGGAGCCUUCAAACAUCCAAAUAAAAGGGUGAUCACCCUUAUGGAGGAAGUGAUUGAAGAAAAUUUGGAAGAAGAAUCUUCUACUCCUAACGAGGGAUUGGAAGAGGAAGAAGAUGCACUGUAUAGUGAUGAGGGGGAGGUUUACUUCAUUAGGCAAAGCUUAAAUAUCUUUGAUGUUGAAGAAGAUCAUUGCUUCACAAAAUCUUCCACUCUUGAUUGACCUUCCAUGGCAUAGUGUGUGAUGUUAUAUAUCAUUGGUAGUGAGAGUUGUGAGAAUGUUGUCUCUACAAAGAUGGU